GGGGCUGUGGUGCAGUUGGGAGCACAUCUGACUGGCAGUCAGAAGGUCGCGGGUUCGACCCCCGCCAGCUCCA
RNAcentral lists this transfer RNA (73 nucleotides) under Nitrospirota bacterium. RNAcentral's name for it is "Nitrospirae bacterium (hydrothermal vent metagenome) tRNA-Ala". It matches the Rfam family "tRNA". Rfam says of the family: Transfer RNA (tRNA) molecules are approximately 80 nucleotides in length. The record is from RNAcentral. Lineage: Bacteria; Pseudomonadati; Nitrospirota.